AUUGAACGCUGGCGGAAUGCUUUACACAUGCAAGUCGAGCGGCAGCGCGGGGGCAACCCGGGCGGCGAGCGGCGAACGGGUGAGUAACGCAUCGGAAUGUACCCAGUAGUGGGGGAUAACUAGUCGAAAGACUAGCUAAUACCGCAUACGCACUGAGGUGGAAAGCGGGGGAUCGUAAGACCUCGCGUUAAUGGAGCGGCCGAUGCCGGAUUAGCUAGUUGGUGAGGUAAAGGCUCACCAAGGCGACGAUCCGUAGCUGGUCUGAGAGGACGACCAGCCACACUGGAACUGAGACACGGUCCAGACUCCUACGGGAGGCAGCAGUGGGGAAUUUUGGACAAUGGGCGCAAGCCUGAUCCAGCCAUUCCGCGUGAGUGAAGAAGGCCUCGGGUUGUAAGACUCUUUCGUCAAGGAAGAAAC
RNAcentral lists this ribosomal RNA (420 nucleotides) under uncultured bacterium. Its description in RNAcentral is "bacterial SSU rRNA". It matches the Rfam family "Bacterial small subunit ribosomal RNA", at positions 29 to 451 of the family's 1533-position model. The record is from RNAcentral.